This 250-nucleotide unclassified non-coding RNA is filed under the name plant metagenome. RNAcentral's name for it is "partial contains small subunit ribosomal RNA and internal transcribed spacer 1". The stretch from base 1 to 46 matches the Rfam family "Eukaryotic small subunit ribosomal RNA", at positions 1786 to 1831 of the family's 1831-position model. The record is from RNAcentral.
AAGUCGUAACAAGGUUUCCGUAGGUGAACCUGCGGAAGGAUCAUUAGAAUGAGUAGCCGGACCAUGUCGUGGGCGAAAGCUCGUCACGUGCCAGUAAGCGCCCGUAACCUCCACCCUUGUGUAAUUAUUCUUCUGUUGCUUUGGCAGGCCGCGACCCUCAAUGGGGGAGCGCUUGGCAUCUGCGUGUGAGUGCUGCCGCGAGCAACAUCUGUAAUUUAAUGCCGUCUGAGUACUACGAAAAUAGUUAAAA